CAGGAUGACGUCAUACAGCGUGCGGCCCUGCACGUUCAGGAAGUGGGCGUAGGCCGCGCGCGCAGGGGGCGUUGCCGCGCCUACCCCGGGACCCGGAAGUGGCAGCUCAUUGGUCAGCAGCCCCAGCAGAAAGGGCGCCGCGUCCGGGCCGCGCACGCGCAGCAGGGAACGCUCGUCUAGCAGGAAACACGCCCAAGCCGCACCGUCCGCAUGGUCGCCUCCAAGACGGCUAGAGCUAUGGGCCAGGCGGCGCCUCGGGGCCGCGUGCAGCCGCCAGCGCCAGGUCGGGCCGCCGCGUCCCGGAGCCGCGCCCCGGAGCAACGCCGCGACCGCCAUCUUGGGCAGGAGUGAGGCGGCGGGAGGGCAGGCGCCACAGCGGCCCCUGGCGGCAGCCGCCGGCAGAAAGGGGCGGGCGGAGCGUGUGCGCGUGAGGAUUCUUUUACCGUGGUGACGUGUCUGUCGUCGUAACCACGCUGAGCCUCCCAUCGGUGCCGCCGAGCGCAUCCUGGCGCUCCUCCUUCCCAGGGGCCUCCUGCGAUGCCCCGCACGUGGCCGCCCUCCGUGCUGCCUGGCCCGGGGCGCGGGGCUCGCCGGUUCCUGCGGUGGCGGGAUGUGUCGGACCCCGCGCCUUGCCGUCUGCCCAGGCUGGGCUCGCGCCUGCUCUCCGCGUCCCACCUGCGUGUCUGUGGCGAGUGUCAGGUCCAGGGCUCGGCCUCCGUGCAGCCGUUUUAUGAACCAGUCUCACUUCCUGCCCCAGGGAGGUGCUUGCAGAGCCCCCAUCACCACCUGCUGACCGACCUCGCCGGGUGUCUCCCCUGCCCGCCGCCCACCGCGGCCAGCUGGUGCGAGCUCGUGCAGGCAGCCCAGACCGGCCCUGCAAAAUACCCAGCUGAGUUCUCCCUGCCGCUCACUCCGAGCGAUGGCCUUUGUCAGCUCCUGCCUGACAAGUAAAGCUUCUUAACUGUGGGUUUCUUUGCCCGGUUUCUGUGUUGCGUGCGUGUUUGUUUCCUCGUGAGCACCACGCCUGGCAGAACUUUCGUCCUUUCUGAAGUUGAAUCAUAUCUCACUGUUUGAGUAGAUCACGUUUUGUCCCCCUUUCCUCCAUCAGUGGCCUCUUGGGUUGCUUUCACCUCUGUCCGCAGUGAACACGGGUGGACAGACAGGUAUCUCUUCGAGAACCUGCUUUGAAUUCUCUGGGGUGUGUUCCCAGAGGUGGGCUUGUCGGGUCCUAUGAGGGUUCGUGCUGAGUUACCUGAGAAGCUGCCCACCUGUUUCCUAGAGAGCCCUGUCAUUUGGCUACUGUAACAAAGUACCUAGCCGCCUGUGGGGGCGUCAAACUCGCUUUCUUGUCUGGAAGCUCUGGAGGCCGAAUCUCCAGGUGAGUGUCAGGAGGCCUCUCUGACUUGGUGUGACUUGCGUGUCCUCACAUGAUUGUCACUCUGAGUCUGUCUUGAUUGGUGUCACAGGACACCAAUCCUGUGGGAUCAAGGUCUGCUGCAGUGACCACAUUAACCUAAUCACUUCCUUUAGUCCAGUACUGGCCCACUGAGGUCAAGGACCGCGGUGGACUGAGGUUCCGCGGUAGAGCCACCCAUCCUGGGAGGCUUGCAAGGAGCAGGCGUGCCGCUGCCUGUCCUGGAGGCAGGACGCCCAAGGUCUCUGCAGGGCAGGCUGCCGUCCAGGAGGGCUGCUCCCGGGGGUCCUCACACGGAGGAGCAGGGACUCUGGGCCCCUGGUGCAGACUCAUCCCGUCACCAGGCUCCCCUCUGUGACCUGUGACCCCGUCACAUCCAGGCGGCCCCACCUGACAGCGCGGCCUGGGGAGAGGCUUCCGUCUCGCCUCCAGGCUGAGGCCGCACAGCCCACUGCAGGUGUUUCCAGUGUCCUGUGCUGACCCCCCGCUCACCACCAGCAGGAGCGUCGGCUGUCCCUCUGUCCCCGUGGCCCGCCUCUAGCUGCCUGGCCUUCUCCACAGUCUCUCGUUCUGCUCUUUGGGUCCUGGUGAUGUCGGCUGCAGUGCAGGGCACCAUCCCCAGACCGGAGGGUGACCCGGCACCUCCCUGCUGUCCUGUUCGAAGAACGGAAGCCGGGCUGGACAGCGCUGGCAGGGGCAGCACCCAGGGCUGGGGUCACGUUCCUCAGGCCUCAUGUCAGUCCGUCUCUGGCCAGCAGCAGCACCAGCAGGAAGGGCACACAGGCAGCCCAUCCGGCCUGUCAGCUGGUGACCAGGCCCAGCCCUGGUGGCCAGCCAGGACCUGCUGGGCUGUUGAGAUACAGGCCCUUCUAGGAAAGAAGUCUGCCUCUGCAAGACCAGGCGUGGGCUUCUCCAGGGAGCCGUUCCGGAGUCUCUGAAGCAGCUGGUCAGCGUGACCACAGCAGCCCCUGGGCUCCCGAGUGAGGCUUCAGGCCGGCCACAGCAGGGGUGCAAGAGCUGGGAACAUGGCCGGCCUGCGUUCCAGCCCAGUUUCCCCAGGUAGUUAUGGUUUCCUGUUUUCCAUGGCUUCCUCCCUCCCAGGGGAAGCAGGAAGGAGCUGCCCCAUUCUAGGGAUGCCUCUGAACAUGGCCCUGCCCCCAGCCCUCUGCAAACUCCCCCUGCAGCGACCAGUUGGCUGAGGCUGUGGAAACAGAUGAGGCCAGGCAUUCCAGUCUGAUCCUGCUCCAGGGCCUGCCCCACAUCCCACCAACCCCUGGACAGUGUCCAGGCUCAGCCUGAUGCCCUUGUGGCCAUCCCAGGGAGAUAGGGAAACUGAGGCACAGAGCGUGUGGUCUUCAGGAGCCAAGUGGCUUGUCUUGUGGUACUGGGACUCGAACCCAGACCCUGCGCGUGCUCAGCUGACCCUCUGCCACUGAGCUGCACCCAGAGCCCUUUUAUUCUGAGACAAGGUCUGCCCCCAGCCUCCCAGGUAGCUGGGGUCACAGGCUGUACCCCUGCGCGGUGGCCGAGUGCCAGGCAGCAGGCAGUCUGGGGGUCUCCCUGGGACCUGGGAGACCAGACCCCUCAGUGUCGGCCUCCUACGCCAUUUCCUGCGAGGGGCUCGCUCAGGCUGGAGGCCAUUGUUCUGUCCAGAGAGUGGAGGAUGUGGCCUUGGAGGUGGGACCUGCAGAUGGCAUGGAGGCAGGGCCAGCAAGGGUGCUCCUGAUGGGAGGAUGGGGCCGCAAGACCCAGUGACCACAGUGAAGUGCUCACAGAACUGACGGGGCAGUGGCCCCUCGGUCCCCAGGUCUGUGGGAAGAGAGGGCCAUCACCUAGGGCCCCUUCGUCCCGCCUCCACGCCAUGGAGCGCUCAGCUGGGCACACACCUCCCGGUACGGGCAGUUGCCUGAAGUCCAGCCCCGGGACCUCAGGACGAGGCCUCCAAGGAAGGGCUUAAGGCUCCAGCUGACGGGUGCGGUGAGCUGGAGAUCUGAGAGGAACAGAACCAACAGCGAUCUGGAGAAGUGCCGCUCUCACUAUGGACGUUACCUCGUGCCGCUAGGCCGCGGGGGCCCAGGUGCCGAUGAUUGUAUUCUUCAUAAAGAACAGAAGGCAGGACCAGAGGCUGCCCACCCAAAGAAAUACUCAAGGAGGUGGGUACGCCAGUUACCCUGACUUAUCACUAUACCUGUAGACAUCUGUGUCAAUUAAAAAUAA
Molecule: long non-coding RNA, 3631 nt
Organism: Sciurus carolinensis (gray squirrel)
Lineage: Eukaryota; Metazoa; Chordata; Mammalia; Rodentia; Sciuridae
Exons: 4
Source: RefSeq, a predicted model, not a curated record